Molecule: ribosomal RNA, 360 nt
Filed under: Podosphaera xanthii
Lineage: Eukaryota; Fungi; Ascomycota; Leotiomycetes; Helotiales; Erysiphaceae
Description: SSU rRNA
Rfam family: Eukaryotic small subunit ribosomal RNA
Source: RNAcentral
UCAUUAAUUCAUUAACUGUUAAUUUGUUAGUACCUAACUACUUGGUUAACCUGGUUAAUUCUGGGGCUAUACCAUGCUAAAAGCCCGAACUCCGGAAGGGGUGUAUUAUUUAAAUAAAAAACCAUUGCCCUUUGGGGCUCCUUGGGGAUCCACAAUACCUUACCGAAUCGCAGGGCCUUGUGCCGGCAAUGGUUCAUUCAAUUUUCUGCCUUAUCAACUUCCAAUGGUAGAGUAUUGGCCUACCAUGGUUUCAACGGGUAACGGGAAAUUAGGUUCCUAUUCCGGAAAGGAAGCCGGAAAAACGGCUACCACUUCCAAGGAAGGCACCAGGCCCCCAAAUUACCCAAUCCCAACACGGGA